RNAcentral lists this ribosomal RNA (496 nucleotides) under uncultured bacterium. RNAcentral's name for it is "partial 16S ribosomal RNA". It matches the Rfam family "Bacterial small subunit ribosomal RNA", at positions 28 to 506 of the family's 1533-position model. The record is from RNAcentral.
GAUGAACGCUGGCGGCGUGCCUAAUACAUGCAAGUCGAGCGAACAGACGAGGAGCUUGCUCCUCUGACGUUAGCGGCGGACGGGUGAGUAACACGUGGAUAACCUACCUAUAAGACUGGGAUAACUUCGGGAAACCGGAGCUAAUACCGGAUAAUAUAUUGAACCGCAUGGUUCAAUAGUGAAAGACGGUUUUGCUGUCACUUAUAGAUGGAUCCGCGCCGCAUUAGCUAGUUGGUAAGGUAACGGCUUACCAAGGCGACGAUGCGUAGCCGACCUGAGAGGGUGAUCGGCCACACUGGACCUGAGACACGGUCCAGACUCCUACGGGAGGCAGCAGUAGGGAAUCUUCCGCAAUGGGCGAAAGCUUGACGGAGCAACGCCGCGUGAGUGAUGAAGGUCUUCGGAUCGUAAAACUCUGUUAUUAGGGAAGAACAAAUGUGUAAGUAACUAUGCACGUCUUGACGGUACCUAAUCAGAAAGCCACGGCUAACUACGU